Molecule: ribosomal RNA, 253 nt
Filed under: uncultured bacterium
Lineage: Bacteria
Description: partial 16S ribosomal RNA
Rfam family: Bacterial small subunit ribosomal RNA
Source: RNAcentral
UACGUAGGGGGCGAGCGUUGUCCGGAUUUAUUGGGCGUAAAGAGCGUGUAGGCGGCCCGGUAAGUCCGCUGUGAAAGUCGGGGGCUCAACCCUCGAAUGCCGGUGGAUACUGUCGGGCUAGAGUGCGGAAGAGGCGAGUGGAAUUCCUGGUGUAGCGGUGAAAUGCGCAGAUAUCAGGAGGAACACCAAUUGCGAAGGCAGCUCGCUGGGACGUUACUGACGCUGAGACGCGAAAGCGUGGGGAGCAAACAGG